This 307-nucleotide long non-coding RNA is filed under the name Trifolium pratense (red clover). Its description in RNAcentral is "long non-coding RNA (TPRA_LNC005975)". The record is from RNAcentral. Lineage: Eukaryota; Viridiplantae; Streptophyta; Magnoliopsida; Fabales; Fabaceae.
GACAGAGGAGAUAUUGGAAGAGACCAACAACAGCGAGGUAGAGGCUACAGAAAAUGGAAAGACAGAAUCUUUGAUUACUUCAGUUGAGCCAACAGAAACAGAAAAAGAAGAACCUGUGGUUACUGAAGUUGAACCUACAGAAACAGGAAAAGAAGAACUCGUGGUUACUGAAGUUUCGGAAAAUCAGAAAGAACCAGAACAGCUUUCAACAGAAACCAAUGAUGUCAUUGCUGUAGAAGAAAAAACAAGAGAAUUAGAAUUGGAGGCAGCACCAUUGAAAGAGACUAAAGUCGACGAAGUAGAGCCG